RNAcentral lists this ribosomal RNA (254 nucleotides) under uncultured bacterium. RNAcentral describes it as "partial 16S ribosomal RNA". It matches the Rfam family "Bacterial small subunit ribosomal RNA", at positions 524 to 776 of the family's 1533-position model. The record is from RNAcentral.
UACAGAGGGUGCAAGCGUUAAUCGGAUUUACUGGGCGUAAAGGGCGCGUAGGCGGUCAGCACAAGUCAGUUGUGAAAUCUCCGGGCUUAACUCGGAAAGGUCAACUGAUACUGUGCGACUAGAGUGCAGAAGGGGCAACUGGAAUUCUCGGUGUAGCGGUGAAAUGCGCAGAUAUCGGGAGGAACACCAAUGGCGAAGGCAGCUCGCUGGGACGGUACUGACGCUGAGACGCGAAAGCGUGGGGAGCAAACAGG